This 442-nucleotide ribosomal RNA is filed under the name uncultured bacterium. RNAcentral's name for it is "partial 16S ribosomal RNA". It matches the Rfam family "Bacterial small subunit ribosomal RNA", at positions 338 to 795 of the family's 1533-position model. The record is from RNAcentral.
CCUACGGGUGGCAGCAGUGGGGAAUAUUGGGCAAUGGGCGCAAGCCUGACCCAGCAACGCCGCGUGAAGGAAGAUGUCUUUCGGGUUGUAAACUUCUUUUAAGGGGGAAGAGCAGAAGACGGUACCCCUUGAAUAAGCCACGGCUAAAUACGUGCCAGCAGCCACGGAAAUACGUAGGUGGCAAGCGUUGUCCGGAUGUACUGGGUGUAAAGGGCGUUCAGCCGGAAAGACAAGCUAGAUGUUAAAGCCACGGGCUCAACCCGUGAACUGCAUUUGAAACUGUUUCCAUUGAGUGUCGGAGAGGUAAGCGGAAUGCGUUGUGUAGCGGUGAAAUGCGUAGAUAUAAGGAAGAACACCAGUGGCGAAGGCGGAUUACUGGACGAUAACUGACGGUGAGGCGCGAAAGCGUGGGGAGCAAACAGGAUUAGAUACCCUAGUAGUC